RNAcentral lists this ribosomal RNA (2892 nucleotides) under Neisseria gonorrhoeae. RNAcentral's name for it is "23S ribosomal RNA". It matches the Rfam family "Bacterial large subunit ribosomal RNA". Lineage: Bacteria; Pseudomonadati; Pseudomonadota; Betaproteobacteria; Neisseriales; Neisseriaceae. The record is from RNAcentral.
GGUCAAGUGAAUAAGUGCAUCAGGCGGAUGCCUUGGCGAUGAUAGGCGACGAAGGACGUGUAAGCCUGCGAAAAGCGCGGGGGAGCUGGCAAUAAAGCUAUGAUUCCGCGAUGUCCGAAUGGGGAAACCCACUGCAUUCUGUGCAGUAUCCUAAGUUGAAUACAUAGGCUUAGAGAAGCGAACCCGGAGAACUGAACCAUCUAAGUACCCGGAGGAAAAGAAAUCAACCGAGAUUCCGCAAGUAGUGGCGAGCGAACGCGGAGGAGCCUGUACGUAAUAACUGUCGAGAUAGAAGAACAAGCUGGGAAGCUUGACCAUAGCGGGUGACAGUCCCGUAUUCGAAAUCUCAACAGCGGUACUAAGCGUACGAAAAGUAGGGCGGGACACGUGAAAUCCUGUCUGAAUAUGGGGGGACCAUCCUCCAAGGCUAAAUACUCAUCAUCGACCGAUAGUGAACCAGUACCGUGAGGGAAAGGCGAAAAGAACCCCGGGAGGGGAGUGAAACAGAACCUGAAACCUGAUGCAUACAAACAGUGGGAGCGCCCUAGUGGUGUGACUGCGUACCUUUUGUAUAAUGGGUCAACGACUUACAUUCAGUAGCGAGCUUAACCGGAUAGGGGAGGCGUAGGGAAACCGAGUCUUAAUAGGGCGAUGAGUUGCUGGGUGCAGACCCGAAACCGAGUGAUCUAUCCAUGGCCAGGUUGAAGGUGCCGUAACAGGUACUGGAGGACCGAACCCACGCAUGUUGCAAAAUGCGGGGAUGAGCUGUGGGUAGGGGUGAAAGGCUAAACAAACUCGGAGAUAGCUGGUUCUCCCCGAAAACUAUUUAGGUAGUGCCUCGAGCAAGACACUGAUGGGGGUAAAGCACUGUUAUGGCUAGGGGGUUAUUGCAACUUACCAACCCAUGGCAAACUCAGAAUACCAUCAAGUGGUUCCUCGGGAGACAGACAGCGGGUGCUAACGUCCGUUGUCAAGAGGGAAACAACCCAGACCGCCGGCUAAGGUCCCAAAUGAUAGAUUAAGUGGUAAACGAAGUGGGAAGGCACAGACAGCCAGGAUGUUGGCUUAGAAGCAGCCAUCAUUUAAAGAAAGCGUAAUAGCUCACUGGUCGAGUCGUCCUGCGCGGAAGAUGUAACGGGGCUCAAAUCUAUAACCGAAGCUGCGGAUGCCGGUUUACCGGCAUGGUAGGGGAGCGUUCUGUAGGCUGAUGAAGGUGCAUUGUAAAGUGUGCUGGAGGUAUCAGAAGUGCGAAUGUUGACAUGAGUAGCGAUAAAGCGGGUGAAAAGCCCGCUCGCCGAAAGCCCAAGGUUUCCUACGCAACGUUCAUCGGCGUAGGGUAAGUCGGCCCCUAAGGCGAGGCAGAAAUGCGUAGUCGAUGGGAAACAGGUUAAUAUUCCUGUACUUGAUUCAAAUGCGAUGUGGGGACGGAGAAGGUUAGGUUGGCAAGCUGUUGGAAUAGCUUGUUUAAGCCGGUAGGUGGAAGACUUAGGCAAAUCCGGGUUUUCUUAACACCGAGAAGUGAUGACGAGUGUCUACGGACACGAAGCAACCGAUACCACGCUUCCAGGAAAAGCCACUAAGCUUCAGUUUGAAUCGAACCGUACCGCAAACCGACACAGGUGGGCAGGAUGAGAAUUCUAAGGCGCUUGAGAGAACUCGGGAGAAGGAACUCGGCAAAUUGAUACCGUAACUUCGGGAGAAGGUAUGCCCUCUAAGGUUAAGGACUUGCUCCGUAAGCCCCGGAGGGUCGCAGAGAAUAGGUGGCUGCGACUGUUUAUUAAAAACACAGCACUCUGCCAACACGAAAGUGGACGUAUAGGGUGUGACGCCUGCCCGGUGCCGGAAGGUUAAUUGAAGAUGUGCAAGCAUCGGAUCGAAGCCCCGGUAAACGGCGGCCGUAACUAUAACGGUCCUAAGGUAGCGAAAUUCCUUGUCGGGUAAGUUCCGACCCGCACGAAUGGCGUAACGAUGGCCACACUGUCUCCUCCCGAGACUCAGCGAAGUUGAAGUGGUUGUGAAGAUGCAAUCUACCCGCUGCUAGACGGAAAGACCCCGUGAACCUUUACUGUAGCUUUGCAUUGGACUUUGAAGUCACUUGUGUAGGAUAGGUGGGAGGCUUGGAAGCAGAGACGCCAGUCUCUGUGGAGUCGUCCUUGAAAUACCACCCUGGUGUCUUUGAGGUUCUAACCCAGACCCGUCAUCCGGGUCGGGGACCGUGCAUGGUAGGCAGUUUGACUGGGGCGGUCUCCUCCCAAAGCGUAACGGAGGAGUUCGAAGGUUACCUAGGUCCGGUCGGAAAUCGGACUGAUAGUGCAAUGGCAAAAGGUAGCUUAACUGCGAGACCGACAAGUCGGGCAGGUGCGAAAGCAGGACAUAGUGAUCCGGUGGUUCUGUAUGGAAGGGCCAUCGCUCAACGGAUAAAAGGUACUCCGGGGAUAACAGGCUGAUUCCGCCCAAGAGUUCAUAUCGACGGCGGAGUUUGGCACCUCGAUGUCGGCUCAUCACAUCCUGGGGCUGUAGUCGGUCCCAAGGGUAUGGCUGUUCGCCAUUUAAAGUGGUACGUGAGCUGGGUUUAAAACGUCGUGAGACAGUUUGGUCCCUAUCUGCAGUGGGCGUUGGAAGUUUGACGGGGGCUGCUCCUAGUACGAGAGGACCGGAGUGGACGAACCUCUGGUGUACCGGUUGUAACGCCAGUUGCAUAGCCGGGUAGCUAAGUUCGGAAGAGAUAAGCGCUGAAAGCAUCUAAGCGCGAAACUCGCCUGAAGAUGAGACUUCCCUUGCGGUUUAACCGCACUAAAGGGUCGUUCGAGACCAGGACGUUGAUAGGUGGGGUGUGGAAGCGCGGUAACGCGUGAAGCUAACCCAUACUAAUUGCCCGUGAGGCUUGACUCU